Molecule: long non-coding RNA, 527 nt
Organism: Zonotrichia albicollis (white-throated sparrow)
Lineage: Eukaryota; Metazoa; Chordata; Aves; Passeriformes; Passerellidae
Source: Ensembl
GGAGGACUUUCAGUUAAUGAGACUCCAAAAUCUUGCAAACAGCUCUGUAAACAUAUGUGGAGAUGGAGGCCGCAGAGGAACCCUGGGAUUGACUCAGAGGGCAAGGCAGGUUUUGGUCUGCUCGUAAGCAAGCUAGGAUUUUGUCAGCUGUCCCAAGUACCCUCUGAAGGAUUCUUUGUCUGCAGAACUGCUGGGCGCCUGUCAUGCCAGUGGAGACAGAGGUUGUGUGUGCAUCUUGGAAGAAAGAAACUUAUGAACUUCAAUGGAGAGAGAGUGAACUUCUAUAUGGAAAACAAAAUUGCAGCUGUAAAGUUCACGGGCAAGCUGUGUCUCAGAAAUAUAAUGAUAAACAAGCUUCCUUCAACGAUUCUGGGCUGCGACUUCUCAUGUUGCAGAUCUGAAAUCAUGAAUUACCAGCCAGCUGGAACAGCAGGAGAAGGAAAGUUCAUACAUACCCUGAGCUCCAGUUAGUCACUGUGAGAAGUGCACAGGAGCUCCGCUGUUUCCGUCUAAUGCUGGCAGAGAAA